GAGUUUGAUCGUGGCUCAGAUUGAACGCUGGCGGCAUGCCUUACACAUGCAAGUCGAACGGCAGCACGGGAGCUUGCUCCUGGUGGCGAGUGGCGAACGGGUGAGUAAUGCAUCGGAACGUAUCCUGGAGUGGGGGAUAACGUAGCGAAAGUUACGCUAAUACUGCAUAUUCUGUGAGCAGGAAAGCGGGGGACCUUCGGGCCUCGCGCUCUUGGAGCGGCCGAUGUCGGAUUAGCUAGUUGGUGAGGUAAAGGCUCACCAAGGCGACGAUCCGUAGCAGGUCUGAGAGGAUGAUCUGCCACACUGGAACUGAGACACGGUCCAGACUCCUACGGGAGGCAGCAGUGGGGAAUUUUGGACAAUGGGGGCAACCCUGAUCCAGCCAUGCCGCGUGAGUGAAGAAGGCCU
Molecule: ribosomal RNA, 408 nt
Filed under: bacterium enrichment culture clone ALO1_GLFRUDD03GAYJA
Lineage: Bacteria
Description: bacterial SSU rRNA
Rfam family: Bacterial small subunit ribosomal RNA
Source: RNAcentral